AAAUGAUCCCUUGAGUGUGCAAUAAAUUUGAGAUAGUUCAAGGAUCAAACACUUAGGAUAACAAGAACCAGUUCCAUACUGAACUAUCAAUCAGAACUUGCUUUUCUUAUCAGUUCUCUUCGCAAGGAAAUGAUCCCUUAAUUGUUCAAUCUUAGCAAGCCAGUCGCAGGACUUUACAGGACACAAAUCGGAUAGAAGAUGGAGAAUAUAAAUUGCUGCGCUGUGGUCCGUCCUUUUGAGAUUCUCAAACCCUUGUAGAUGAAGAGAGAAGUAAAAGGAAUAUGUAUCAGGCCUCUCUGAGAUAUCAUUGCAGCAGUCAAUGUUCCGUUGAUGCUUCCUGUUGAUUGUUCUACAAAAGGAGGAAGAGAGAGUGACCAAGGGUUUGCAUGAGGAAUCAUUAAUGGGAGAUAUCAGAGGAUACAAUUAACCUCAAAACCUACCAUGUUCACCUUUUCUAGAUUCUCUGGUUACGUCCAAUGGCAGCAACGAAGAUUUCUUUAGUAGUUCUUUCUGAGAAAUGCUGCUCCUAAGAGAAAAUAAUUGGAAUAUUUAGCCUUGCUUGACAUCCAUCAGGCUUUGAAAUAUGCAAUUUUCA
Molecule: long non-coding RNA, 595 nt
Filed under: Musa acuminata (dwarf banana)
Lineage: Eukaryota; Viridiplantae; Streptophyta; Magnoliopsida; Zingiberales; Musaceae
Description: long non-coding RNA (MACU_LNC002242)
Source: RNAcentral